This 72-nucleotide transfer RNA is filed under the name Patescibacteria group bacterium. RNAcentral describes it as "tRNA-Arg". It matches the Rfam family "tRNA". Rfam says of the family: Transfer RNA (tRNA) molecules are approximately 80 nucleotides in length. The record is from RNAcentral.
GGGCUCUUCGUUCAAUGGAUAGGACACACCUUUGCGAAAGGUGUAAUCCGGGUUCAAUUCCCGGAGGGCCCA